CCUACGGGUGGCUGCAGUGAGGAAUUUUGCACAAUGGAGGUAACUCUGAUGCAGCGACGCCGUGUGUAGGAUGAAGGGGCUCUGCCCUGUAAACUACUGUCGGAUAGGAAUAAAAGUUGGGUUGCCCAACUGGGAAUGUACUAUCAAAGGAAGGAUCGGCUAACUACGUGCCAGCAGCCGCGGUAAUACGUAGGAUCCGAGCGUUGUCCGGAUUUACUGGGUAUAAAGGGUGCGUAGGCGGGUUUGUGCUUCAGAGGUUAAAGACCGCAGCUCAACUGCGGGAGUGCCUCUGAUAAGGCAAAUCUUGGAUAUGAGAGGGGUAGGUAGAAUUCCUGGUGUAGCGGUGAAAUGCGUAGAUAUCAGGAGGAAUACCAGUGGCGAAGGCGGCCUACUGGCUCAUAAUCGACGCUGAGGCACGAAAGCGUGGGGAUCAAACAGGAUUAGAUACCCCAGUAGUC
RNAcentral lists this ribosomal RNA (458 nucleotides) under uncultured Legionella sp. RNAcentral describes it as "bacterial SSU rRNA". It matches the Rfam family "Bacterial small subunit ribosomal RNA", at positions 338 to 795 of the family's 1533-position model. The record is from RNAcentral. Lineage: Bacteria; Pseudomonadati; Pseudomonadota; Gammaproteobacteria; Legionellales; Legionellaceae.